UACGGAGGGUGCAAGCGUUAAUCGGAAUUACUGGGCGUAAAGCGCGCGUAGGCGGUAUUGUAAGUGGGAUGUGAAAGCCCCGGGCUCAACCUGGGAACUGCAUUCCAAACUGCAAAACUAGAGUAUGGUAGAGGAUAGUGGAAUUUCAGGUGUAGCGGUGAAAUGCGUAGAGAUCUGAAGGAACACCAGUGGCGAAGGCGACUGUCUGGACCAAUACUGACGCUGAGGUGCGAAAGCGUGGGGAGCAAAC
RNAcentral lists this ribosomal RNA (250 nucleotides) under uncultured bacterium. Its description in RNAcentral is "partial 16S ribosomal RNA". It matches the Rfam family "Bacterial small subunit ribosomal RNA", at positions 524 to 773 of the family's 1533-position model. The record is from RNAcentral.